AUAAUUACCUGGCAGGGGAGAUACCAUGAUCACAAAGGGGUUUUUCCCAGGGCGAGGCUUAUCCAUUGCACUCCGGAUGUGCUGACCCCUGCGAUUUCCCCAAAUGCGGGAAACUCGACUCCAGAAUUUGUGGUACUGGGGGACUGCGUUCGCACUUUCCUCUG
Molecule: small nuclear RNA, 164 nt
Organism: Octodon degus (degu)
Lineage: Eukaryota; Metazoa; Chordata; Mammalia; Rodentia; Octodontidae
Gene: U1
Rfam family: U1 spliceosomal RNA
About the family: U1 is a small nuclear RNA (snRNA) component of the spliceosome (involved in pre-mRNA splicing). Its 5' end forms complementary base pairs with the 5' splice junction, thus defining the 5' donor site of an intron. There are significant differences in sequence and secondary structure between metazoan and yeast U1 snRNAs, the latter being much longer (568 nucleotides as compared to 164 nucleotides in human).
Source: Ensembl